This 760-nucleotide long non-coding RNA is filed under the name Volvox carteri. Its description in RNAcentral is "long non-coding RNA (VCAR_LNC000981)". Lineage: Eukaryota; Viridiplantae; Chlorophyta; Chlorophyceae; Chlamydomonadales; Volvocaceae. The record is from RNAcentral.
CGUUCAAUGCACAGUUUUACACAGGAUGCGUAAAUAGCACGACGCGUGUACAUAUAUCAGAUUUCCGAGCGAUAGCUGGGUGUCAGGAGGCAAUGCACAACCUCAUGAAAGACACUCAUUCCUACAGUUGUGCGACCUACGUACGUUCACGGGGCUCCCCAACGAGACGCAUACGCAAACGAGGUCGGUGCUACCAUUUGCCAUGCAAAGGACCCUUGACACGGCUCCUCGCCAGCAGCUCUUGACACCGCGCAACUAUGUAAUGACAUCAUACGCCGCCAACAACUAACUAUACGGGCAACCAAGCACCCCUUUUCUUCUCGACAGGAAAUUGCGCUCGCCAGCAGGGGAAGGCCGCCCCCUGGCAUUGGCGCCACUACCAGUGCACAACAGGCAACAGAAACAAGCGACACCAGGGGUGACCGAUGUCGACACCUUUAUUCUGUCUAGAUAAGCACAACGAUGGCAACACGCAAAAAGGCUGCUCUCUGCCGUUCAACAGCACGUGAUUGCCUGUUCCAUAUUGUACAGUAACGGAUAAAUGGAAAUGCUAAAAUAAGAGCCAGCAAUACGCCGCCAAUAUGAGCAAUAGGUAACAACAGAGCUGCGACGUGCGCGAUCCUGCAACAUAUGUCCCUGUUUUCCAAUGUUCCGCGCACAGUUGCACGGUCUGGCUUAGGCAGGCAGGCUUAGCUUGGCACCGGGGGCUGAAGACCGCCACUCCAGGCACUCGUUCAGCUUGCGCGCCAUGACAGGUCCC